Molecule: unclassified non-coding RNA, 386 nt
Filed under: fungal sp.
Lineage: Eukaryota; Fungi
Description: partial internal transcribed spacer region
Rfam family: Eukaryotic small subunit ribosomal RNA (bases 1-46)
Source: RNAcentral
AAGUCGUAACAAGGUUUCCGUAGGUGAACCUGCGGAAGGAUCAUUAACACGUAUCCACGUAUCAACCAAUGAGAACCUGUUUUCCCGUCUCCCUGUGCAAAGAAUGAAUUGGAACCAGUUUGAGGGAUUGAUGGGACCGAAAGGUCGGCCUUCCUGGUAUACUUACGUAAAUAGAAAUGUUUGCGUAGACAAUUGUAUUUUUGUUACAGGCUAUUUCUUAUCGCUUUGAUCCCCAUCAUGAUCGUGGCGGUAGGGAAACUUUCACUAUAUUUACCUUUUUUGCUAGUUGACUUUUUAUAUGUGUUGUCUUGCGAAAGCAUGGUGGCACACGUUUAUUAAUUGAACGUUAAAAAAUACAACUCUUAGCAAUGGAUAUCUUGGUUCUC